GCAUGGUGUGUUGGGAAAGCCUUUGCGGCAUGGGAUGGGGUCGCGUCCUAUCAGCUUGAUGGCGGGGUAACGGCCCACCAUGGCUUCGACGGGUAGCCGGCCUGAGAGGGCGACCGGCCACAUUGGGACUGAGAUACGGCCCAGACUCCUACGGGAGGCAGCAGUGGGGAAUAUUGCACAAUGGGCGCAAGCCUGAUGCAGCGACGCCGCGUGAGGGAUGGAGGCCUUCGGGUUGUAAACCUCUUUUGUUAGGGAGCAAGGCAUUUUGUGUUGAGUGUACCUUUCGAAUAAGCACCGGCUAACUACGUGCCAGCAGCCGCGGUAAUACGUAGGGUGCAAGCGUUAUCCGGAAUUAUUGGGCGUAAAGGGCUCGUAGGCGGUUCGUCGCGUCCGGUGUGAAAGUCCAUCGCUUAACGGUGGAUCCGCGCCGGGUACGGGCGGGCUUGAGUGCGGUAGGGGAGACUGGAAUUCCCGGUGUAACGGUGGAAUGUGUAGAUAU
Molecule: ribosomal RNA, 499 nt
Filed under: Bifidobacterium breve
Lineage: Bacteria; Bacillati; Actinomycetota; Actinomycetes; Bifidobacteriales; Bifidobacteriaceae
Description: bacterial SSU rRNA
Rfam family: Bacterial small subunit ribosomal RNA
Source: RNAcentral